This is a long non-coding RNA of Acyrthosiphon pisum (pea aphid), 378 nucleotides long. RefSeq lists it as uncharacterized. The record is from RefSeq and is a predicted model, not a curated record. The transcript has 4 exons. Lineage: Eukaryota; Metazoa; Arthropoda; Insecta; Hemiptera; Aphididae.
GUCAGUGUGCGCACUGGUUGGAAGCAGCAGUGGCUUUCGAUGUUGACGGUGUGGGAAGACAGCUGCGGCGACAGGACAGACUGACACUAGGAAUGACCAUUCUCUCCAUUUGAAAUUCUCCUGUCAUUGUGCAUACUGGUUGGAAGCAGCAGUGGCGUUUCGAUUGUGACGGUGUGGGCAGACAGCUGGGGCGACAGGACAGACUGACACUAGGAACGACCAGUCCCUCCAUUUGAAAUGCUACUGUCAGUGUGCGUACUGGUUGGAAGCAGCAGUGGCUUUCGAUGUUGACGGUGUGGGAAGACAGCUGCGGCGACAGGACAGACUUACACUAGGAACGACCAGCCUUUCAAUUUGAAAUGCUCCUGUCAGUGUGCG